UUCUCCCCACACACUCUGCUCUAAUUAUUUAAAAUGUCCCUCACUUCCAUUUUUCCCACUUGCAUAGGUUGCAGAUGGAAAAGAAAAAGUGAAGUGAAUAGUACUCACAUCCACCAUGAUUCCAGAAUUCACAAGACACCCUCUUAAACUGCUGAAAGGGGCUAUGGCUAGAAGUCAAACAACUGAUGAUUUGCCUCAAAAAUAAUUCUGCAAGACACACAGAAACAAGCCUUACUGACAUUCAAGAUUCAAAACUAACCUUUAAUGAGGGCCCAUGGACUUUUUCCAUUUCCCUGAUGAGAAAAGAAUGAAAAGAGUGUCACUUUCUUGCAUAUUUACAGCAAUUUUUUUUCAAAAAUAAAAAAACAAGACAGCAAUUCCUGCAAUCUUACUUCUAGACUUUAAAGACUGUCAAAGAGAGCAGCAAACUUGCAACAAGGUCCAGGCUUACUGAAAGCAAUCUUUUUCCAUCUAGAAAUCAAAUGCAUUUAAAAUGUUGCUCUUUAGGAGAAAAGACCAUUUCCUUCACAGAAACACUUUGAAAGAGAAGCCAGGUGCUGUGUAUUUAAUCAGCAAAUGCUAAUGAAAUGCUAAGAUCUCAGGGCAUAAACUGUCAAACUGAAGACCUUCAAAUGCUGAUUCAACUACCUGAAUAUCUAGUUAAAGGAAAUACACUCACAGGGGCCAAUUUGCAUGGACAUUUUUAAACAUUAACUUUAAUGAUGAUUGACAAGGCCAGCUUAUGUCUAAACAGAUUAGGAAAGUGCUAAUUUGUGAAGGAUGAUGGCAAUCUUGUGUUUAAGACCCCAGCCAC
RNAcentral lists this long non-coding RNA (814 nucleotides) under Bos taurus (domestic cattle). RNAcentral describes it as "long non-coding RNA NONBTAT019541". The record is from RNAcentral. Lineage: Eukaryota; Metazoa; Chordata; Mammalia; Artiodactyla; Bovidae.